AUACCGGCUGCUCGAGUGAUGGCCACUAUUACUGGGUUUAAAGCGUCCGUAGCUUGACUGUUAGGUCUCUUGGGGAAUCUUUUGGCUUAACCAAAAGGCGUCUAAGAGAUACCGGCAUUCUUGGAACUGGGAGAGGUAAGCCGUACUUCGGGGGUAGGAGUGAAAUCUUGUAAUCCUCGAGGGACGACCUAUGGCGAAGGCAGCUUACCAGAACAGCUUCGACAGUGAGGGACGAAAGCUGGGGGAGCAAACGGGAUUAGAUUCCCCGGUAGUCCCAGCCGUAAACAAUGUGCGUUAGGUGUGUCGGUUACCACGCGUAACUGAUGCGCCGAAGAGAAAUCGUGAAACGCACCACCUGGGAAGUACGGUCGCAAGGCUGAAACUUAAAGGAAUUGACGGGG
RNAcentral lists this ribosomal RNA (401 nucleotides) under uncultured bacterium. Its description in RNAcentral is "partial 16S ribosomal RNA". It matches the Rfam family "Archaeal small subunit ribosomal RNA", at positions 473 to 873 of the family's 1478-position model. The record is from RNAcentral.